Molecule: small RNA, 333 nt
Filed under: Histoplasma ohiense
Lineage: Eukaryota; Fungi; Ascomycota; Eurotiomycetes; Onygenales; Ajellomycetaceae
Description: hypothetical lncRNA
Source: RNAcentral
ACAUCACAUUGUUUCUCUACAGAGGACACUAUCAUAAGUAUUGCAUUGACAAAAAAACAACUAGACAGCACUAUAAAUCUUGAUGAAAAUUCACACUAUAUUUUAUACUGAAUGUUCAGUUUUUAAUUGUUUCAUUGUAUGAUUCUAUUCUAAUUCACUGUCAUUCAAUAUGUAAUUUAUCUGUCUAUAAAUUCUAGACUGGCUGGUGGGACCAUGAAUUACAUAUUUGAUUUAAUUUGAUUUGAUUUCAGUCCAUUUCUUGGUGUGACUUUCAGUGGAACCAGAAUCAAAAUAAGAGUGUAAAGUGACUAGAAUUAUUAAAAUAUAAAUGAA